Molecule: ribosomal RNA, 875 nt
Filed under: uncultured Massilia sp.
Lineage: Bacteria; Pseudomonadati; Pseudomonadota; Betaproteobacteria; Burkholderiales; Oxalobacteraceae
Description: bacterial SSU rRNA
Rfam family: Bacterial small subunit ribosomal RNA
Source: RNAcentral
AGAGUUUGAUCAUGGCUCAAAUUGAACGCUGGCGGCAUGCUUUACACAUGCAAGUCGAGCGGCAGCGCGGGGGCAACUCUGGCGGCGAGCGGCGGACGGGUGAGUAAUGCAUCGGAACGUAUCCCGUAGUGGGGGACAACCCAGCGAAAGCUGGGCUAAUACCGCAUAUGCUCUACGGAGGAAAGUGGGGGACCUGGAAGGGCCUCACGCUAUGGGAGCGGCCGAUGUCCGAUUAGCUAGUUGGUGGGGUAAAGGCUUACCAAGGCGACGAUCGGUAGCUGGUCUGAGAGGAUGAUCAGCCACACUGGGACUGAGACACGGCCCAGACUCCUACGGGAGGCAGCAGUGGGGAAUUUUGGACAAUGGGGGCAACCCUGAUCCAGCCAUGCCGCGUGCGGGAAGAAGGCCUUCGGGUUGUAAACCGCUUUUGGUCGGGAAGAAAGGGCGCCGGAUAAUACCUGGCGCUGUUGACGGUACCGGCAGAAUAAGCACCGGCUAACUACGUGCCAGCAGCCGCGGUAAUACGUAGGGUGCGAGCGUUAAUCGGAAUUACUGGGCGUAAAGCGUGCGCAGGCGGUUUGUUGUGUCUGAUGUGAAAGCCCCGGGCUUAACCUGGGAAUGGCAUUGGAAACUGGCAAGCUGGAGUGUGGCAGAGGGGGGUGGAAUUCCGCGUGUAGCAGUGAAAUGCGUAGAGAUGCGGAGGAACACCGAUGGCGAAGGCAGCCCCCUGGGCCAACACUGACGCUCAGGCACGAAAGCGUGGGGAGCAAACAGGAUUAGAUACCCUGUAGUCCACGCCCUAAACGAUGUCAACUGGGUGUUGGGGAAGCGAUUCCUUGGUACCGUAGCUAACGCGUGAAGUUGACCAAUCACUA